GUAGGUGGCAAGCGUUGUCCGGAAUUAUUGGGGCGUAAAGCGCGCGCAGGCGGUUCUUUAAGUCUGAUGUGAAAGCCCACGGGCUCAACCGUGGAGGGUCAUUGGAAACUGGAGAACUUGAGUACAGAAGAGGAAAGCGGAAUUCCACGUGUAGCGGUGAAAUGCGUAGAGAUGUGGAGGAACACCAGUGGCGAAGGCGGCUUUCUGGUCUGUAACUGACGCUGAGGCGCGAAAGCGUGGGGAGCAAACAGGAUUAGAUACCCUGGUAGUCCACGCCGUAAACGAUGAGUGCUAAGUGUUAGGGGGUUUCCGCCCCUUAGUGCUGCAGCUAACGCAUUAAGCUCUCCGCCUGGGGAGUACGGCCGCAAAGGCUG
Molecule: ribosomal RNA, 374 nt
Filed under: uncultured organism
Description: partial 16S ribosomal RNA
Rfam family: Bacterial small subunit ribosomal RNA
Source: RNAcentral